This 88-nucleotide small RNA is filed under the name Escherichia coli. RNAcentral's name for it is "partial RtT sRNA". It matches the Rfam family "RtT RNA", at positions 1 to 86 of the family's 130-position model. From Rfam's summary of the family: This family represents a bacterial cis-regulatory element known as RtT RNA. The exact function of RtT is unknown although it is thought that it may be involved in changing the cellular response in relation to amino acid starvation. Lineage: Bacteria; Pseudomonadati; Pseudomonadota; Gammaproteobacteria; Enterobacterales; Enterobacteriaceae. The record is from RNAcentral.
AUUCUGCCCAAGCGGGGAAGGAUGAGAAGCUUCGACCAAGGUUCGACUUGAGCGUCAGCGAGAGAGCGUUGCCGCAGGCAACGACCCG